AACGAACGCUGGCGGCAUGCCUAACACAUGCAAGUCGAACGAUUGCCUUCGGGUUUUAGUGGCUCACCGGUUCGUAACGGGGGGGAAUCUGCGCGUAUGUUCGGAAUAACAGCUUGAAACAGCUUCUGAUACCUGAUGAUAUUGCCAGAUCAAAGAUUUAUCGCCUUAGUAUGGGCCCGCGUUGGUUUGGGGAGGGGGUUGGGUAAAGGCCUACCAAGCCGAGGAUCCAUAUCUGGUCUGAGAGGGUGAUCAGCCACACUGGGACUGCGACCCGGACCAGAAUCCUACGCGAGGGAGGAGUGGGGAAUAUUGGACAAUGGGCGCAAGCGUGACACGGCAAUGCCGGGGGAGUGAUGAAGGCGCUAGGGUUGUAAAGCCCUUUUACCCGGGACGAUAAUGACGGUAACGGGAGAAUAAGCACCGGCUAACUACGUG
Molecule: ribosomal RNA, 435 nt
Filed under: uncultured bacterium
Lineage: Bacteria
Description: partial 16S ribosomal RNA
Rfam family: Bacterial small subunit ribosomal RNA
Source: RNAcentral